AACCGGGACACUACAAGAAUGAUUAUCCUCAAGCCAAAAAGAGAACAUCAAAGAAAAAGGCGCUCAAGGCAACGUGGGAUGAUUCAAGCGCGUCCAAAGAAGAGGAGUCCAACACCGAGUAAGUUGCUCAUUACGCCCUAAUGGCCAUCGGAGAAGAGGUAACGGAUUUAAUUAAUGCAGAUUUACCUUAUCAUGAAUUAUCAAAUGCUUUCCAUGAGUUAUUUGAUGAAUGUAAGACAAUUAGUAGAAAAUACAAAUUGCUAAAAAAGGAGCAUGAUAGUCUCACUUGUGAU
Molecule: long non-coding RNA, 293 nt
Filed under: Musa acuminata (dwarf banana)
Lineage: Eukaryota; Viridiplantae; Streptophyta; Magnoliopsida; Zingiberales; Musaceae
Description: long non-coding RNA (MACU_LNC010159)
Source: RNAcentral